Drosophila simulans is the source of this 2046-nucleotide long non-coding RNA. RefSeq lists it as uncharacterized. The record is from RefSeq and is a predicted model, not a curated record. NCBI's taxonomy places the organism in Eukaryota, Metazoa, Arthropoda, Insecta, Diptera, Drosophilidae. The transcript is spliced from 2 exons.
ACUUGUUUUUAAGUGUAUUUAGGUGUUAGUAGCUUUUUAUGCUUUAAGCUUUGAACUGUCCAGAGUAGUCGCCUUCAUUCCCCUCGACUGCUGCCUGAAUUUUUGGACAGCUCCAAGCGGUUUAUGGCGACCGCGGAAAAGUUUUACACCCCACCAAAAAGCCAUAACAUGUACACCAGAUAUCUUGGGCACUAUCAUUUUUCCACCUUGCUUUCUUUGCCUACCACCCAAGCACUCGCAUUAUUGCCGGGGGCCACGCCGUUAGUAUCAUGUACGAAACUCAUAACUGGCUCAAUAAGUUUUCUGUGCUAUUUUUUACGAGCUUCAAUUCGAACUGCGUCUGCUUGGCUACAGCUCUUCCGUUGGCCCAGCUGGCUUGGCUUCCUUGCCGCAUUUCGUUUAAGGCCACGGAUUUUACAGCUGUCAGACAAGGUGUGCUGGUGUGCAACAAUUCGGCGGCAACGGACGCGUUAUUGAAUUGUAUUUUAUGGCUUUACUUACGCCACAAACUACGCAAUAUAAGGUGAGCUGAGACCUAGCUGUAGAACUGCAUUAAGGCUGAAAGCAGACUUAAAGGAAGCUGCUGACUCUUUCCUCUGGCCAGUGUCUUCUGCUUUGACAGCUGGCCAAGAGUCGGUCUAUUGGGUGACCCUACCCGGGCUUCAUCCCAUGUGCAGCCAAUCAGCGCAAAUUCGAAGCGGGGCGCAAAUUGCCAUCAAGCAUAAAAAAUAGUUGCCGGUCGACUUGGUGGCCAAAGGGCAAUGGCAAUGCCAAUGGCAAAACCGACCCCAAAGCAAACAAUGUAAAGUGCAGCCCUGCCCAAGACAACAAAUCGAAUAAUGCGGAAAGUAAAUUUUCAACUUCUUUCAGCCACACACACACGCGCACAAUAGAGGCUUUACACUGCGACCAAUUUUACUUCGGUACUUAAGAUUAAUUUAUUCCCUUCUUAAUUAUUAAGCAGCCCACGCCAAGACUUCCAUUUAAUGCAGGAGUUACUUCAGGUCUUUCGAAAUGAAGAUAUACUAAAGAGUCAAGGAAUCUUAUAGAUUUUUUACCAGUGCAAAAACUUCGGAAGCCAUGCCGGCUAUAUAAGUGGGGGCCAUGUCAGCUACUCGAAGCGUAGCCAAGCGAGCGCUGCGCUAACAAGUUACAAAACUAGCAGUGGAAAUGCAGGAAUUCGGGGUAACAAUUGCAGGCGAGGCCAGAAGUAGCAUCAGCAGCAGCAGCAGCAGCAGACGUCGACAUCAACAUCCACAUCUGCAGGUAUUGGCAGUGGAGCAUAUUGAAUGCCAGGCAUGCGGCCCGGCCCUUCUCCAGUCACCAGCAUAACUCGGCGUGCAACGGGGCGUAUGAGCAACAGCUGCCGUUUGCCGUGCAAAGUGUGCCCGGUAGCCACAAUCUUUAUUCGUAUUCCCAGCCGCGUCCAACAGACAGACUUGAUAAUAAUUUAUUAUCGUCUGAAUGUUCCUCCAAAAGUUUCUUUUUUUUGUGGCUUCGCGACACUAACGUAUGCAGACAGCGAAGCCGAUUCCCCGGCGGCCCAUUAGUCGCGUGUUUGAGCAUAUUCUAGAUGAAGAAUUAUGCGGAUGGCGGUGGCAUGUUGGCCUGGGAGUCUAUAAAGUUGAAACGGCCCUCAGAACUUCCCUUCUUUUCCAUCUCCAUUAUAGCCGGUGUCAAAAGCUAAACGGAAAUUCGAAUUCAAAUCGAUAGCUUCCAUUUAAUCACAUUGCCGGGAACGCCUGUCAUACUGCGUUUAGCUGCUAAAGCGAUUUGUUGCGAUUCAUUGAAAUUAUUUGCACAUUGGAUUUAAUUUUUCCUGUUUCGGGCACUUUAUCAAAUUGCAUUUCUGCCACAACAUGUAGCGCAUAAAAUUUUAUGAAAUUAUUUCGCGCAUUCGUAGGAACAACAAUCGACGCAUAUAUGUAUAAAGAGGGAAAAUCACACAACAACACUCUGGAGCUCUGAACGCAUAAAAAAUCAAUUAAACACGUUUCGACAAUAUUUUCGGCAAUGAUAUAAAUUUUUAUCACGCUCUUACAAUUA